Molecule: ribosomal RNA, 254 nt
Filed under: uncultured bacterium
Lineage: Bacteria
Description: partial 16S ribosomal RNA
Rfam family: Bacterial small subunit ribosomal RNA
Source: RNAcentral
UAACGUAGGGCGCAAGCGUUGUCCGGAAUUAUUGGGCGUAAAGAGCUCGUAGGUGGCGUGUCGCGUCUGCCGUGAAAGCCCAUGGCUUAACUGUGGGUCUGCGGUGGAUACGGGCAGGCUGGAGGCUGGUAGGGGCAAGCGGAAUUCCUGGUGUAGCGGUGAAAUGCGCAGAUAUCAGGAGGAACACCGGUGGCGAAGGCGGCUUGCUGGGCCAGUUCUGACGCUGAGGAGCGAAAGCGUGGGGAGCGAACAGG